AUACGUAGGGUGCGAGCGUUGUCCGGAAUUACUGGGCGUAAAGAGCUCGUAGGUGGUUUGUCGCGUCGUCUGUGAAAUUCCGGGGCUUAACUCCGGGCGUGCAGGCGAUACGGGCAUAACUUGAGUACUGUAGGGGAGACUGGAAUUCCUGGUGUAGCGGUGAAAUGCGCAGAUAUCAGGAGGAACACCGGUGGCGAAGGCGGGUCUCUGGGCAGUAACUGACGCUGAGGAGCGAAAGCAUGGGUAGCGAACAGGAUUAGAUACCCUGGUAGUCCAUGCCGUAAACGGUGGGCGCUAGGUGUAGGGGUCUUCCACGACUUCUGUGCCGUAGCUAACGCAUUAAGCGCCCCGCCUGGGGAGUACGGCCGCAAGGCUGAAACUCAAAGGAAUUGACGGGG
Molecule: ribosomal RNA, 398 nt
Filed under: uncultured bacterium
Lineage: Bacteria
Description: partial 16S ribosomal RNA
Rfam family: Bacterial small subunit ribosomal RNA
Source: RNAcentral